Molecule: transfer RNA, 86 nt
Filed under: Helicobacter pylori 2018
Lineage: Bacteria; Pseudomonadati; Campylobacterota; Epsilonproteobacteria; Campylobacterales; Helicobacteraceae
Also listed under: 1 other name
Description: tRNA-Leu
Rfam family: tRNA
About the family: Transfer RNA (tRNA) molecules are approximately 80 nucleotides in length. Their secondary structure includes four short double-helical elements and three loops (D, anti-codon, and T loops).
Source: RNAcentral
GCGGAAGUGGCGAAAUUGGUAGACGCACUAGACUUAGGAUCUAGCGCCGCAAGGCAUGAAGGUUCGAUUCCUUUCUUCCGCACCAU